GACGUAGGGCGCGAGCGUUGUCCGGAAUUAUUGGGCGUAAAGAGCUCGUAGGCGGCUUGUUGCGUCGACUGUGAAAACCCGCGGCUCAACCGUGGGCUUGCAGUCGAUACGGGCAGGCUAGAGUUCGGUAGGGGAGACUGGAAUUCCUGGUGUAGCGGUGAAAUGCGUAGAUAUCUGGAGGAACACCGGUGGCGAAGGCGGCAUCCUGGACCGACACUGACGCUGAGGAGCGAAAGCCAGGGGAGCAAACGGG
RNAcentral lists this ribosomal RNA (253 nucleotides) under uncultured bacterium. RNAcentral describes it as "partial 16S ribosomal RNA". It matches the Rfam family "Bacterial small subunit ribosomal RNA", at positions 524 to 776 of the family's 1533-position model. The record is from RNAcentral.